This is a long non-coding RNA of Penaeus chinensis, 279 nucleotides long. RefSeq lists it as uncharacterized. The transcript has 2 exons. NCBI's taxonomy places the organism in Eukaryota, Metazoa, Arthropoda, Malacostraca, Decapoda, Penaeidae. The record is from RefSeq and is a predicted model, not a curated record.
ACAGUACCAGCUGGUAUCCUACCUCUCUUACGUACCAACUGUGCUGAUCGAUGGGGAGGUGGUCGUGAAAAGCAACGAAGACAUGGCGAAGCUCCCGUUAGUGCUGUGUAAUAAACUCAACCACGUACCUCGUGUUCAGUCUUAUUGCCAGAAUUACAUGAAAACGCAAGUCAAAAACUGAAUGAAAACGGGAAAAAAAUGAACGGGUUGUCUGAGUUGAAAGGAUUUUGGGAAAAUUGUGUUUUGUUUGCUUUCAGGAAAUAAAGAUUUUGUCAUUGA